UAUCUCUCCGUACGGGGAAGGAUGAGAAGCUUCGAUUAAGGUUCGAUUCGAGCGCAGCGAGAAAGCGUUGCCGCAGGCAACGACCCGAAGGGUGAGGAGCGGAGCGACGAAUAAUCCUUCCCCCACCACCA
Molecule: small RNA, 131 nt
Filed under: Salmonella enterica
Lineage: Bacteria; Pseudomonadati; Pseudomonadota; Gammaproteobacteria; Enterobacterales; Enterobacteriaceae
Description: RtT sRNA
Rfam family: RtT RNA
About the family: This family represents a bacterial cis-regulatory element known as RtT RNA.
Source: RNAcentral